RNAcentral lists this ribosomal RNA (468 nucleotides) under uncultured bacterium. RNAcentral describes it as "partial 16S ribosomal RNA". It matches the Rfam family "Bacterial small subunit ribosomal RNA", at positions 28 to 507 of the family's 1533-position model. The record is from RNAcentral.
GACGAACGCUGGCGGCGUGCUUAACACAUGCAAGUCGAACGGAAAGGCCCUGCUUUUGUGGGGUGCUCGAGUGGCGAACGGGUGAGUAACACGUGAGUAACCUGCCCUUGACUUUGGGAUAACUUCAGGAAACUGGGGCUAAUACCGGAUAGGAGCUCCUGCUGCAUGGUGGGGGUUGGAAAGUUUCGGCGGUUGGGGAUGGACUCGCGGCUUAUCAGCUUGUUGGUGGGGUAGUGGCUUACCAAGCCUGUGACGGGUAGCCGGCAUGAGAGCGUGACCGGCGACAUUGGGACUGAGAUACGGCGCAGAAUCGUACGGGACGCAGCAGUGGGGAAUAUUACAGAAUGGGCGGAAGCCUGAUGCAGCAACGCCGGGUGCGGGAUGCCGGGCUUCGGGUGGUAAACAGAUGUCGCCUGAGCCGAAGCGAGAGUGACGGUAAUGAGUAAAGAAGCAACGGCUAACUACGUG